CCCAGUGCUGAGCGGGUUGGGGGUUGGUGCAGCUGAGAUCCAGAGACGGGACAGUCUUCAGCCGGCGGCGCUCAAGCUGGCGGCCCUGAUAAACAAGUGAAUUUCCGGUGACAGGUGACUCAAAGUGCUGCUGUUAGAAGAACCGGGAACGGAUGCUGAGCAGGUGAAAGAACCUGGUGUCCUGGUACCCAGCCCACAACUACUUCCUCCUCCAUCUCACCCAGCUCCUCUCUGUGGCAGACCCAGGACUCUUAGCCUGGGGAUAGUUGCAUCCCCUUUAAGAAACCGAUGAAAGUCUAGAUUGCUGUCAGCCCGCACACCAACCAGCUCCAUCAUGGCGACCUGCAGCUCCAGCAUCGUGAUUAAUGAUGAUGAACCAGGUUAUGACCUGGAUUUAUUUUGUAUACCUAGUCAUUAUGCAGAGGAUCUGGAAAAGGUGUUUAUCCCUCAUGGACUAAUUAUGGACAGAACCGAACGGCUUGCUCGAGAUGUGAUGCAGGUGAUGGGAGGCCAUCACAUCGUGGCGCUCUGUGUGCUGAAGGGGGGCUAUAAGUUCUUUGCAGACCUACUGGAUUACAUCAAAGUACUGAACAGAAAUAGUGACAGGUCCAUUCCUAUGACUGUAGAUUUUAUCAGAAUGAAGAGCUACUGUAAUGACCAGUCAACAGGCGACAUAAAAGUGAUUGGUGGGGAUGACCUCUCAACUUUGACUGGAAAGAAUGUCUUGAUUGUUGAAGAUAUCAUUGACACUGGUAAAACAAUGCAAGCCUUGCUUUCCCUGGUCAAGCGGCAUAAUCCAAAGAUGGUCAAGGUUGCCAGCUUGCUUGUGAAAAGGACCCCUCGAAGUGUUGGCUAUAGGCCGGACUUUGUUGGGUUUGAAAUUCCAGACAAGUUUGUUGUGGGAUAUGCCCUUGACUACAAUGAACACUUCAGGGAUUUGAAUCAUGUUUGUGUCAUUAGCGAAACUGGAAAAGCAAAAUACAAAGCCUAAGAUGAGAGUUCAAGUUGAAUUUGGAAACAGCUAGUGUCCCAUUGAUAUCACCAGUAAAAUUACCAAAUGUUCUAGUUCUGUGACCAGCUGCUUAGUAGAGUUUAUUAUUGCAUGUAUCGUCUAAGAAUUUUAUCUAUUUUGUAUUUUAGAACUAUUAGUUACUGCAUUCCUGAACUCUUUAUUUGCACUAUGAGCCUGUAAACUAUCAUUUCCCUUUGGGUAAAUUGUUGUUUGACUCAUGAAUAAAAAGUCUCUUAAACUGUA
This is an RNA transcript of Capra hircus (goat), 1255 nucleotides long. It is a transcript of the gene named hypoxanthine-guanine phosphoribosyltransferase pseudogene, with no coding region annotated. The transcript is spliced from 2 exons. Lineage: Eukaryota; Metazoa; Chordata; Mammalia; Artiodactyla; Bovidae. The record is from RefSeq and is a predicted model, not a curated record.